Long non-coding RNA from Prosopis cineraria, 1229 nucleotides. RefSeq lists it as uncharacterized. The record is from RefSeq and is a predicted model, not a curated record. NCBI's taxonomy places the organism in Eukaryota, Viridiplantae, Streptophyta, Magnoliopsida, Fabales, Fabaceae. The transcript is spliced from 2 exons.
AAGAUGGGCUGUUUGUGCUCUGUCCUUGUGAUGCUUUCUGACUGCAAUUCACGCAUCAACAAAAAAUACGAUGCCAUUGUCAUAACGGUUGUGAAAUUGGGGCAUCGCCCACUGAUUAAUAAACAAUGCUUCCCUGAGACACGCUGAGAUUCGUGAGGAGUAAUGCUAUCUAGGGCAGUGUGCCUCACCCUCACUCAGGUAAGAAUACGAUCCCUCUCUCUGGUGGGCCCAGAAACAUAUGCUCAACAAAUAAAAACCAAAAAAACAAAUGCCCGGUAGAGUAACCGAUUUCCCAAACACUACUCGUUAUCGUGUCGCUUAAUCAGAAGUAUGAAUCACCCACGCCCACAACGUUCACCAGUUAUUCCGAUUCCGAUUUCCCAAGCGAAGCUUUUUGCCGAUAAAAGCCCAUUAAUUAAUUAUUUAAUAAAAAAAAUAUCGAAAUCCAACCUGGUGUUUGGGGAUGGACAGAAGGUGAUGGUAUAAUCGGCAGACGCACAUGUGAACGUGCUUGUCUUGUCGUCGUAAGCGUAGCUGUAGGCGCGUGGGCACGCGUUCUUGAAUAUUUGCGAGUAUGACGAUGGCUUGCAGGUGUUCGGAGAUCCAUACGCGCCGCUGCAACAGUACCGCGGCGACCCAAACGCCUCGCACGCGCUCUUGCAUGCCACCCCUUCCCUCCCGUCAUCGCUCAUCACCUUUAGCUCUGAGGGACACGCGCCGUUCAGAUCCGACACACAGCCCGUGCUCGUGCAGUUGUCACCGGAACCACCUUGAGGAACCACCAUCAUAGGCACGUUAUAUCCGUCUACCAAGCUUACAUCGAAGAAAUCAAGCCCUCCGGCUCCGUCUAAAGUGAAUUCCGCCAACGUCGCCGGCGGGGAGGCUCCUUUCCCUCCGCAUUCCAUCUUGCCAGAGCCACAGUCACCGGUGACGCACGUAAACAUGCCGGUGGAAUCCUGGGAGCACUGAGUUCGGCCCCAGAAGCGGCCACCCCAAGAAGUGGGUGCGGAGAUGGUCUUAGACUCGCCGGUCUGAAGAACAAAACCGGUGGAAGAAAGAGGAGUGACGCCGGCGUUUGAAAGGAUGCCCGGCCAUACUGUGUAGCCGCAUUUGUUAACUAUGGUGAAUGUCGUUGAAAAAACCCCUGCAAACGGUGUUCCCACGUUAUUACAUUAAACCUCAUCUUUGCUGAAAAGAACAUAAACGAAAUCAGAAAUUUGUUUGUUUAA